CGGUGCGCCUUAUGCAUGCAAGUCGAGCGAAGCUUUUCAGUAGUUUACUACAGAAAAUGACUGAGCGGCGAACGGGUGAGUAACGCGUGAGCAAUCUACCUUAGUUACAGGGAUAGCCCGAGGAAACUCGGAUUAAUACCUGAUAUUCUUUAUUUCUCGCAUGAGAAUAAAAGGAAAGGUCAGCCGAACUAAGAUGAGCUCGCGUUCUAUCAGCUAGUUGGUGAGGUAAAAGCUUACCAAGGCUACGACGGAUAGCUGGUCUGAGAGGACGAUCAGCCACACUGGGACUGAGACACGGCCCAGACUCCUACGGGAGGCUGCAGCAGGGAAUAUUGUGCAAUGAACGAAAGUUUGACACAGCGACACCGCGUGUGGGAUGACGGAUCUAGGUUUGUAAACCACUUUCAGGAGGGAAGAAAAUGACGGUACC
Molecule: ribosomal RNA, 430 nt
Filed under: uncultured SAR432 cluster actinobacterium
Lineage: Bacteria; Bacillati; Actinomycetota; Actinomycetes
Description: bacterial SSU rRNA
Rfam family: Bacterial small subunit ribosomal RNA
Source: RNAcentral